Poeciliopsis prolifica (blackstripe livebearer) is the source of this 657-nucleotide long non-coding RNA. RefSeq lists it as uncharacterized. The transcript has 3 exons. The record is from RefSeq and is a predicted model, not a curated record. Lineage: Eukaryota; Metazoa; Chordata; Actinopteri; Cyprinodontiformes; Poeciliidae.
GCAGCGAAGAGAGAGAGGUUGGCUGGAGGAGGAUAGGAGUGAGAUGCCGAUGUGUAAUGUGAAACUCAUAUGAACUUCGUUCGUGAUCGUGCGGUGGAAAUGUGGGAACAGGAUUCUCCAGUGAACCUGACGGAAUUGUGUAGUGAUGUGAGUGAUUGAGAGGGCGCUAGUUCAGCUAUCUGCUAGCUCAGCGGCUAACGCUAACGGCCAGCAGGAAUUGGCUGAAGAGUGGAGACUUCAGUGCGGAUUAUCGGAACUCGAAGUAAGAAGUUCUGAUGGAACCGUACUGGUUGCGAUGAGAACGUUUUUUUUUUUUUUUUUUUUUUUCCGGACGUUGUCAGGAGGUUUAUUUACAAGGGACGUUCAUCUGCGUUGGCCCAGAAGAUACGAACACCCCGGUCAUGAUGCAACUAGAUCUAAGGGCAGAAAACUGAGCCAGAUCACUGAAGUCUCCCGGGAAUCUGCUGAUGUGCCAAAAAGGCUCAAGUUCACGAGCAACAAAAGCCCAAGGACGCAAGCCACCUGCUGAUGCUCCAACAAAACAACAGCCAGUCACCACAGGCGCCAGAUACUUCCCCUGAAUCCUCAGUCUCACCUCUGUCUCCAUUUCUCAAUACACCACCAGGAACAUAAGAUCUUCCACAGCAUUGUCCGACU